This 480-nucleotide ribosomal RNA is filed under the name uncultured bacterium. RNAcentral describes it as "bacterial SSU rRNA". It matches the Rfam family "Bacterial small subunit ribosomal RNA", at positions 28 to 507 of the family's 1533-position model. The record is from RNAcentral.
GAUGAACGCUAGCGGCAGGCUUAAUACAUGCAAGUCGAACGGCAAGGACUUUCGGGUCCCUAGAGUGGCGCACGGGUGAGUAACACGUACACAACAUACCCUAUAUUGGAGGAUAGCCUUGGGAAACUGGGGGUAAGUAUUCCAUAGUAUUUAUUGGAGGCAUCUCUGAUAAAUUAAAGAGCAAUCGAUAUAGGAUUGGUGUGCGUCCCAUUAGCUAGUUGGUAGGGUAACGGCCUACCAAGGCUACGAUGGGUAGCUGGCGUGAGAGCGCGACCAGCCACACUGGAACUGAGACACGGUCCAGACUCCUACGGGAGGCAGCAGUAGGGAAUAUUGGACAAUGGAGGCAACUCUGAUCCAGCCAUGCCGCGUGGAGGAUGACUGCCCUCUGGGUUGUAAACUCCUUUUGUACAGGAAGAAACCUCCUCAUUUAUGAGUGAGCUGACGGUACUGUAAGAAUAAGCACCGGCUAACUCCGUG